RNAcentral lists this non-coding RNA (971 nucleotides) under Naticarius hebraeus. RNAcentral's name for it is "12S ribosomal RNA". The stretch from base 548 to 967 matches the Rfam family "Microsporidia small subunit ribosomal RNA", at positions 752 to 1303 of the family's 1311-position model. The record is from RNAcentral. Lineage: Eukaryota; Metazoa; Mollusca; Gastropoda; Littorinimorpha; Naticidae.
CUUUGUUUGUUUUUUAAAAAAUAACAUGUUUCUUUAAAAAUUAGGAAUAUUUAUGGAAAACAUAUUUAUUUUUUAGUAUAAAUAAGCUUGGCUCUGACUUUAAAAUAUAAUAAUAGCAAAGGAAUACACAUGGUUUUUAUUGAUAGUAGUGAGGUUAAUAAUUAAAUAAUUAUUUGUAAAAAACAAGAAAGUUAUUUAUUUAUUAAAGUAUUAUAAAUUAUAUAAUUCUAGGACUGAACCACUAUACACCAGUGUCAAAUAUUAAUAAAGAAACGAAAGUUUGCUUUAGAUUAGCUAAGAGAUUUGGUUAACUUGGUGCCAGCAUCCGCGGUUAGACCAAGAAAUCAAGUUAUAUAAUAUAGGUAAAAAGACAGUUAAAUAAAUACUAUUAUGUUUUUAGAUUUUUUAUUUAAAAGUAAAAUUUGAAUAUAAAAAAAUAUUUUAAUGAAAACUUAAAUUUAUAUUGAAGCUGUGACAAUUUAGGGAUAAACUAGGAUUAGAUGCCCUAUUAUUCUAAAUUAUAAAUCGAUAUCUUAUAUAUUUACCUGAGUACUACGAGUCCAAAAACUUAAAACUCAAAGAGCUUGGCGGUACUUUAUACCCUUCAGGGGAACCUGUCUCAUAAUCGAUAAUCCACGUGAAACCUUACCUUUUUUAGCUACCAUACAGUAUGUAUACCGUCGUCGUUCAGGCAACUUCUAAAAAUAUAAAAGUUGACAAGCAAGAAUUAUAAAUAAUCUUUGACGUCAGAUCAAGGUGCAGCCAAUAAAAAGGAGAGGAUGGGUUACAAUUAAUAAUUAUAAUUACGGAAUAAAGAAUUAAAUGCUUUAAUGAAGGAGGACUUGAAAGUAAAAAUUUAUAUAUAAAUUUUUUGAAUAUGGCUCUGAAGUGUGCACACAUCGCCCGUCGCUCUCGUUGAAAAAUGAGAUAAGUCGUAACAUAGUAGGGGUAAUGGAAAUUGUCCCUGGAUG